AAUGCCGUUCAUUCUCCCUUUUAGAUGGAGCAUGUGGAUAAGGAAGGUUUUGGAUUGGAGUAGCGCUUACUACCUCCUUUCCUUUAGCAACUCUAGAACUUCUUGCUCUUGGCUUUUUCACUUCCUCCCCCAUUACUUCAUCACUCUUAUUUUUCUCAAUUUCCACACUUUCUUUCUUUUCAACUUCACCAUUCUUUUUGUUCUUUUCAACUUCUU
Molecule: long non-coding RNA, 216 nt
Filed under: Lathyrus oleraceus (garden pea)
Lineage: Eukaryota; Viridiplantae; Streptophyta; Magnoliopsida; Fabales; Fabaceae
Description: Pisum sativum (pea) long non-coding RNA (PSAT_LNC017977)
Source: RNAcentral